AAUAUAUUCAUAGUGAAUAUGGAUAAUAUAUUGACGUAUGCAAUUAAUGUUUGUACGCAAAAUAAAUUUUAUUUGUCAAAGGAGGAGCAGUUGGAAUCCUAACAGUUAUAUUCUGUUAUUCGAACUAACAAGAAGAGAUGGAAGGGACCUGUUCAGAUAAACGAGUUCUGCUGUACUGCCCUUCUCCGUAGUUAACCGGAAUAGAUUUGAAGAGAGGAGAGACAGAGAGAGGGGAAGAGAGAGAUACCCACUAUUUCCAAGGAACGUAGUUUGAGCGGAAACGGAAGCCCUAAAAUACAGAUGUAGAAUUAUGGGAACCGAUAGGAUAUCCAUAAAAUAUCAUUAACCAGCACGGUUAUUGGAAGCGUGAACGCAGCAGUAAUUAUAACCAGGAAUCACGAGAAUGUAAUGGGAACAGACAAUAACCAUGAGAGACUAUUAAUGUAUUCUACUUAACAAAGUCUGAAUUGGGUUCUACUGAACGCAUCUUGUCACGAACUUAAGUCCUACCGCGAAUUCGUGACGUGGAAAUCAAAUUUUGAUACGUUGAUUGCUAUGUUUGCACAAAACCACCAAAAAGUUAGAUAACUUAACUAGUAUCUAGUAUUCUAUUCUACAAAUCUUGAUCAUAAAACAUACUUUAUGUCUUCUGUAAAAAUAGAUAUUCUUAUUACCAUCAAAUGAAAUUGAGAGAAGUGUGCGUUUUUUGAUAUAUUCACUUUGAUAUCGUUCGGUAGACGUAUCGACGUUAUUUUUUCUAACAUACUUUUCAAUAAUCUAGCGUGUGUUAGAUAUUAUAUUAACAAGUAUAUCAUACUUAAUCACUGAAGAAUACAUUAAGCAGUCACUUCUCACGAAAUUAGAAUAUAUAUAGUUUGUCUGAUUAAUUAUUCGUCCAUACGAAACAUUGUGCGUGGCCAUUUAAACUCGUUCCACAAACAAGCAAUCGUUCAAACAAGAAUCCCUUUAAUCAAGGAAAACUAGCGCAGUCCCCGAAGUAAAACUUUCACGCGCGGUACGUUUAAUUGUGCAUCUUUUCAUUUCAACUGUCCUUCCGACCACGUAAUCUUCGUCAAGUAACUCCGAUGAAACGUUAACACACGGCUCUUCAAGCUAUCUUCUCAUACCAUGUCUCGCGAGUGCUACUCUGUAGUUUCUGGCUGGAUGGGUCGUUUAUACGAUUCGGAGUCGCGGAUAAAAGACGAAUCGAACUGGUAGAGGGUUAAAGGAAGCGAAAAGGGAAAGAUAAGGCGAACAGAUUGUCUGACGAAACGAGGAGAAAAAGGCAAGACUAAUUGCGCCCAUGCUGGCUGUUGCCCAACUGCUCUCGCUGCGGAAUGUUUCUAUUCAGCGUCUCUUCGUGUGUCAAUGAGGAAACACUUGUAUCAAGAAGUGUGAUGUACACUGGAUGUUAAAAGCAAGCAUAUGUCUGAGAGUUUAACGUUCUGUCAGCUGUAUGUAACUUUCCUAGGUAUCGAACAAGCUUGAGCAAAUUGAGUUUGAAAUAAAAAUAAG
This is a long non-coding RNA of Bombus pyrosoma, 1515 nucleotides long. RefSeq lists it as uncharacterized. Lineage: Eukaryota; Metazoa; Arthropoda; Insecta; Hymenoptera; Apidae. The record is from RefSeq and is a predicted model, not a curated record. The transcript has 3 exons.